CCCCAAACCCAAAUCCCUCAUUUUCUCAAAGAGAUCAGCCGACCUCUCUCUCUACCUUCUCUUUAUCUCUCUUCCUCUCUCUCUAUCCAUGGUUGUCGCGACCGACCUCCACCCUACCAAGAUGUUGUAUCCCUCUAUCCCUCUUUCUCUCUCCAACUCUAAACAACAUCACCAUGUUUAUCUCCAGUCAACACCGCAACCAUCACGCUACCAGCCGCUGCCGCCCGUCGAGAAACCCCUUUGAUGGAACUACCAACUCCAUCGCAAUUUUCUCUAUUUCUCCGAUGAAUAAACACCGAAAUCACCACCAGCCGGCGAAGCAGCCGUCCACCACCCAGCGCCAAACAUCAACUCGGAUAGCACCGUCUCUCCAUGCACCAGCCCCACCCUUCGCCGCCCUCUCCUCUCACUAGUCACUUCCUCAUCGGAGUUAAUGACUGACGAGGUUUGAAAAGAACCUCACCACGAUUAUGGUCGGGUUUUAUCUUUUGUUUUACGUUAAAUUGCUUGAUUUCGUUUACUUUACCUUCAAAUUAUUCGAAUUUCCAGGUUUAGGGUCUGUGGCGUUUGAGUUUGAAUUUUGAUCCAAUGUCUUUAAUUAUGUGUUUAUUUGUGUCUCUAGACUAACAUACACAAAAACCCUUAAAAUUUAAAUGAGUUUUGGCAUGAUCCCUAUUUUCAAUCUGAGCACUGAUUUCGCAAAACCUUUACACCUCGAUUCUCUCUUCAUUUCACUCUUAUUGUGGUGUUGAAUUAAGCAGAACUUUAAUUUUUUACGGAUGACUUUGAUAUUGUGAUUAUAAUUUGUGUCUCAUAUCCCUUGAAUUUUAACAUAUUAGUGGAUUAUGUUUGGUAACUUUAGAUAUGAUGUUGGGCAUAAUUACAAUCCCCUGAUUAAGGAAGAUUUUUUAAUUCCUUUGAUUCAUCUGUUUUGGGAAAAUUAGAUGAUUGAUUCCGUUAAUUUUUCUAUUGAUAAACACUAGUGCCGCCCACAUUCUAUGCUGUCUACUUGUUUUGCUAUCGAGAUAUUUACUUGCUUAUUCAUGGUAAUUCCUUGAUUUAAUUAAUUCAUUGUGAUUUACCUUGACUAAUUUUCUACCUAUUUCUACUGAUUGUCUUUCCCUUCCUCUAACUAGGACAACUUUUCAUUAAAUUUAUUUGGGUAAAGCUGACAUACUAUGUUAAUUCAAAUUAGUGCAUUAAAGGAAAAUAUUCUGACUAAUUGUUAAAAUAUUUUUUCCUCCUUUAUUGAUUCUGAUUGAUUUUCUAGAAUAUUUCAUUUUACUUCUUACUUCCCCUUAGUGAUUCUUCCAUUUUUCUUUCUUUUAACCCUAUGCCAUCUCACUAUAUAAACACCCCUUCCCCAUUCUCAAAAAGGACGGACACAACUACAACUUACAAAAGUUUUACUUUCUGUCUUGUGCGAGUUGCACUUAUUUUUAAAAGCAUUGGUCUUGAUUGAAUUUUAUUCUUUCGUGGGAAUUAGCUUGAACUUUUCUCUACAUGGUUUUCUUAUUACUACUUGUUAUCAUCAACCGAUGAGUUCCUAUUUGAUGUAAUUUUUUAUGCCUUCUGGGAUAAUUGUAUUGUGUUGUAGAAAUCGUUAGAGAUCCUACCUAUAGAAGCUAGUUCAGAAUAAUUAUUAUGUGCUUGCCUGACAUGUCUUUGUUUCAUUGUGUAAGACAAUGUGUUGGUAUAUUCAAGUGUUCCUUCUGUGCUUGCCCCGCUCUUUUUUGACAGGUAUUAAGUGGUAUUAGAAAAGUCGUCGGGGACUUGGGAGUGUUUGUUUGUUUAUUUCUUAGUUUAGUUUUAUAGCUUCAUUUUCUUUAUUCAUUGGUCCGUAUUGUAUAAACCUCACUGAUGUAAUAAUAAUUAUUGGGACUGCUUGGGGAGCGGGGAUUUAUGUGCUCUCUGAAUCGCGUAGGCAAAUAUAACUUAAGAUUCAUGUGAUUACGUGAUUUAGUUGAACCACUUAGGCAGCAAUUAUAUCUACAUAAAUUAGCUUCCUACAAUUGGAACACAUUCUUCAUCAUU
Molecule: long non-coding RNA, 2034 nt
Filed under: Capsicum annuum
Lineage: Eukaryota; Viridiplantae; Streptophyta; Magnoliopsida; Solanales; Solanaceae
Description: long non-coding RNA (CANN_LNC022280)
Source: RNAcentral